RNAcentral lists this ribosomal RNA (840 nucleotides) under Nigrospora lacticolonia. RNAcentral describes it as "eukaryotic LSU rRNA". It matches the Rfam family "Eukaryotic large subunit ribosomal RNA", at positions 68 to 938 of the family's 3401-position model. Lineage: Eukaryota; Fungi; Ascomycota; Sordariomycetes; Amphisphaeriales; Apiosporaceae. The record is from RNAcentral.
ACAGGGAUCCCCUAGUACGGCGAGUGAGCGGGAACAGCUCAAAUUUGAAAUCUGGCCCUCGGGUCCGAGUUGUAAUUUGUAGAGGAUGCUUUUGGUGCGGUGCCUUCCGAGUUCCCUGGAACGGGACGCCUUAGAGGGUGAGAGCCCCGUACGGUUGGACGCCUAGCCUCUGUAAAGCUCCUUCGACGAGUCGAGUAGUUUGGGAAUGCUGCUCUAAAUGGGAGGUAUAUUUCUUCUAAAGCUAAAUACUGGCCAGAGACCGAUAGCGCACAAGUAGAGUGAUCGAAAGAUGAAAAGCACUUUGAAAAGAGGGUUAAAUAGCACGUGAAAUUGUUGAAAGGGAAGCGUUUAUCACCAGACUUUUUCUAGGGGGAUCAUCCGGUGUUCUCACCGGUGCACUUCCCCUAGUUGAGGCCAGCAUCGGUUUUCGGAGGGGGAUAAAAGCUUCGGGAAUGUGACUCCCUCGGGAGUGUUAUAGCCCGUUGCAUAAUACCCUUCUGGGGACCGAGGUUCGCGCAUCUGCAAGGAUGCUGGCAUAAUGGUGAUCAACGACCCGUCUUGAAACACGGACCAAGGAGUCGAACAUUUAUGCGAGUGUUUGGGUGUCAAACCCUCACGCGUAAUGAAAGUGAACGGAGGUGAGAGCCCUUACGGGUGCAUCAUCGACCGAUCCUGAUGUCUUCGGAUGGAUUUGAGUAAGAGCAUAACUGUUCGGACCCGAAAGAUGGUGAACUAUGCGUGGAUAGGGUGAAGCCAGGAGAAAUCCUGGUGGAGGCUCGCAGCGGUUCUGACGUGCAAAUCGAUCGUCAAAUCUGCGCAUGGGGGCGAAAGACUAAUCGA